RNAcentral lists this small nucleolar RNA (90 nucleotides) under Homo sapiens (human). Its description in RNAcentral is "Small nucleolar RNA U13". It matches the Rfam family "Small nucleolar RNA U13". The record is from Rfam by way of RNAcentral. Lineage: Eukaryota; Metazoa; Chordata; Mammalia; Primates; Hominidae.
ACCCUUCCGUAGUUCAUAAGCAUGAUGACUGGGUGUUCACAUGCAUGCGUGAGAUAUGGCAACCUCAAACGGCACAUUACCUGUCUGACA